GAGAAAAAUGGGCCAUCUUGUCCCUCAUUCUAAAUCCUAUUUCAUCUUUGUUCUUCAAUGGCCAAAAUGGUCAUAAGUUUCAUGAAGUUUGAGCCAGGAAAUCAGGGAUUUUCUACAAGGUCAAAGUUACCUUAUUUCAGCUGUCCAGGCCAGGAGAUACUGAUGACAAAAUACUGGGUCCAAUUCAUGCUCAGCUUGGUGUUUUUGGUUAUCGUGACCGGCGACGGAGUCCAACUCACGUCCAAAGCGCGGUGGCUGGGUCGCGGGCAUGCGUGCCACUUUGUUCUGCGGUCCUCAUCGGUGUUGCGAUACUGAUGACGGACUUAGGUUCAAGGUACACGGUCCCAUCAUCAUCAGUGUUGAUUGACGGGAGCAGUAGCAGAGUGUUGCUAGUCAUUCACGAUAUCACCCGUUGUAGAGUAUGGAUGGGUUUAGUCAUACGAUUGUUAACAGUAGUAUGCAAGCUGGCCAGCGCCCUACCUGACCUCGAGGGUGAUGGAAUGACUGGGGUCGAGUCCUGUUGUUAGCCUGCGGAAUUUCGUCAGACGAAAUGUCAGGCGUGUCCGUGUGGAACUUGUGCUAAACCCUUGGUUUAGUGCUAAUGACAAAGACAUUGGGCUCUUUGGAGUAAUAGCAUGGUACUCGACCUCUUUGUGCUUCACAAAACUGCUUUUGCCCCUGAAAUCGACAAGACGGAGAAGAAGGAGUGCCUGCCUCCAGCUCGUCAGCGAGGAGCCACUGGACCCCAAGAAUACGGUGUUGAAGCCAAUGAUGGUGCCACAGAGAGUAUGAGUAUCAUAUAUCAGUAGUUGUAUGAAGAUAGAUGCAUCUUAAGGAUGUUGAAUCAACUUCAAACUUAGCUAUCAAUCUGAUCUUCAUGAUCUCAACAGAAUUGUGGUAAAAAAGAUUCAGAAAAACAUAUUGAGAAAUUAGAUAACACCUCAACAAAAUCUAUGAUUCUAUUUUAACUUAUUUAAAUUUCAGGACUGGGAUACAAGGGACACAGGAUACUAGGGACAUUGGAUACAAGGUGCCUGCCUCCAGCUCGUCAGCGAGGAGCCACUGGACCCCAAGAAUACGGCGUUGAAGCCAAUGAUGGUGCCACAGAGAGUAUGAGUAUCAUAUAUCAGUAGUUGUAUGAAGAUAGAUGCAUCUUAAGGAUGUUGAAUCAACUUCAAACUUAGCUAUCAGUCUGAUCUUCAUGAUCUCAACAGAAUUGUGGACAUGGGAUACAAGGGACACAGGAUACUAGGGACAUUGGAUACAAGGGACACUGGAUACUAGGGACACAGAAUACAAGGGACACUUUACACAAGGGACACGGGAGACAAAGGACGCCGGGCUGGAGACACAAAAGAGAAUGUUGUAUCCUACAAGGUCUCUCCGAGAUUCCAUCAUCACCAAGUCCAGGGUGACCGAGCGGGGUCGCAGAGAUGAAAGCCAAUCACUCAAAGGAUUGAGGAUGCAAGCAACGGUAUCUGUAUGCUAGAUGUAUUUGUAUUCCAAAUCCUCCCUGUCCUGAGCAUCUUUUGCAGUGACACAGUGGACAUUGUUAAAUCAUCAGUGGACCUCUAGAGAAAGCCAACUUGAGAAUUUGUUCAUGGAGCAAAGUUGGUUAAAAACAUGAAUGAUCGAUGAGAUUAUUGACACCUGAAGAAAUCACGGCUGAUCAGGGUCAAUCCAUAAUCCGAGUCCCACUGAAAGGUUUCAGGAUAGCAUGGGGUUAAAGUGAAAAGUAGGAUGUAACCUCUGUUCUUGUUGAUAUCUGACUAGUAAAAGCCACAAACUUUUAAAAGGUUUUGGGACAGACAAGUUAAUCUAACGCGAUGAGUUUUGAUUUUAUCAAAAAUUGCCUGGGUAUAAAAAUGUAAUGACCUGAAUGUUUGUUUUU
This is an RNA transcript of Lineus longissimus, 1891 nucleotides long. RefSeq lists it as uncharacterized. The transcript has 4 exons. Lineage: Eukaryota; Metazoa; Nemertea; Pilidiophora; Heteronemertea; Lineidae. The record is from RefSeq and is a predicted model, not a curated record.